CUGCUUUUCUUACUGCUUUUGAUAAAACUCAUAAGCGAACUCCGAGUGACAGCUGCUUUCUUUGCCUCAUCCUGCUCCCUGUAGCUACCUCUGUGCCUCCGUCCCACAGUUAGAUGCAACAUCCCUGAUUUCCAGGAUCAGCUUAGUUCAUGCCAUUGACCCUUGAUUUUUUUGGUCUAUUCCCAUGUUCACCAGGAAGAGAAGCAUGAGGUUACAUCUGUAAUCUCCCUGCAGCAGAGUCAACUGCAUAAGAAACCAAAAGACACACCUGCUCCAUGCCAGCUUCGAUAAUUUCUUUGUACCUUCGGCGAAAGAAGCCCAUCUGAAAGGCAGAAAGAAAGAGGAGAAGCUGAGUUAGAAGUGCUGAAGAAUCAGCCAUUGUGACCCCAAGGCAGUCUGUCCCUGGGUAGGUGUGACCUGCACUCACAGGGCUGGGGAGGCUUGGAGGACCCCUCGGAUUAGAGAAAACACUGGCAAGAAAAACAUCCGGUGGAGACAUUUUUCAAAAUGCAUGGACUUCCUGCGGGUGAUAUUAGGCUUCUUCACUGUGAGCCAAACAUCCAGGGAAGCAUCACAGCCACCCUGAUGGUCAUAAGCUCCCCUGAAGAAGGGAAGGCAGGUGGACCUGAGGAGCUGUCUGUUGCCACCAUCUUUCUACUUCCCUAAAGGGGGCUUAUUGGCCAAGCCAAAGACGAGAACUGUCAAGAGAGCCAGCAGGUAUCUUCACCCACGUUGCCAAGGAGAUCCUGAGCAUUCACUGUGAGGGGAAGUCGAUAAGGUGGUGCAGUUUGAAUGACUGGGAAAGAGCAGAAGCUUUCUUAGAACAACUGGCAAGAGUCUUGUGUUCUGAGCUUCAAUCCUCAAGGCCAGUUUUGUAAACAGAUAUUGAGUUCCUGGUGAUUUCAGCCCUGGAGGUUUCUUCCCAGCAUAAGACCACAUUCAUCAGAAUGCCACGUUCUGACGCCCCCACACAUAUACUUUUCUCUCCUGAAACCUCUUCACCUUCUCCCCUCUGCAAGAGAUGUGGAAAAGGUGCUUGGCCAGAAUUUUCUGGAUAAUUAAGAAAAAGUCAUAGACAUCAUCCCCACAGCACACCCACAGAAGGCCAGAAAAACGGACCAAGACUGAAUGGAAAUCUAAGAAGCUACUGCUUGAAAUGUCAUUCUUUUGCGAUAAAGGUGUGGUUGGCCAAGAAAACAUGACCAGAUGUGGCUGGUCACAUGCCAUGAAGGAGAAUGUAAUCAUGAAACUGUGGAAGGAUGUAACAGGGAAAUAAGAUUCUCUAGCACAUACCUUUGGCUGCUGAUGUUGUAAUGUGUCAAUAAUCCCAGGUCACUCAGUUGUAAUUCCAGAGAAGUCACAUUUCCCUACCAUGGCACUAUCAAGCAGAAACUUAACAGUCUGCCCUCUUAUUAUCUCCUGCAUUUGUCUUAGGACUCCUUGAAGGCAGGCUUUGUGCUUUCAAUCCCCAGUACUCAGCAUCUCACCUGUCCUUGGUACCAGCGAUAAAUUGCAAAGAUGCCCACAUACCCUCCACACCCUUUACCAUGUGACUCUCCAGCUCUUCCCAUCAUGAGGUGGAGUC
This 1585-nucleotide long non-coding RNA is filed under the name Pan troglodytes (chimpanzee). RNAcentral describes it as "long non-coding RNA NONPTRT011876". The record is from RNAcentral. Lineage: Eukaryota; Metazoa; Chordata; Mammalia; Primates; Hominidae.